RNAcentral lists this ribosomal RNA (616 nucleotides) under uncultured fungus. RNAcentral describes it as "eukaryotic LSU rRNA". The stretch from base 226 to 379 matches the Rfam family "5.8S ribosomal RNA". The record is from RNAcentral. Lineage: Eukaryota; Fungi.
GAAGUAAAAGUCGUAACAAGGUUUCCGUAGGUGAACCUGCGGAAGGAUCAUUAAUGAAUUGAAAGGGAGUUGAUGCUGGCCAGGUCUCUUGGCAUGUGCUCGCUUCCGACAAUCUUAUCCAUACACCUGUGCACACUGUGAGGGCACGAAAGUGCCCUUAUUUACUACAUACACCUAAUUUGGAAAUCGCACGUGACUUGCGUCGUAUGGCGCUUAAAUAAAUACAACUUUUAACAACGGAUCUCUUGGCUCUCGCAUCGAUGAAGAACGCAGCGAAAUGCGAUAAGUAAUGUGAAUUGCAGAAUUCAGUGAAUCAUCGAAUCUUUGAACGCACCUUGCGCUCCUUGGUAUUCCGAGGAGCACGCCUGCUCGAGUGUCGUGAAACUCUCAAGCUAGAUGCUUUAGUGUCAUCUGCUUGGUUAUUGGACUCUGCUGUCUCCUUGUCUGGAACGGCUGGUCUCAAAUGUAUUAGCUGGCUCUUGUUGUGGGAAUUGGUUCUACUCAGCGUGAUAAUCUAUGACCGCUGAGGACAUCUCUCGGGAUGGCCAAGCCUGCCUUGAACUGCUUCUAAGUCAUCAUUUCAUGAUAUUUUUUCAACUUGACCCUCGAAUCCCGG